RNAcentral lists this small RNA (67 nucleotides) under Gracilibacillus ureilyticus. Its description in RNAcentral is "Bacillaceae-1 RNA". It matches the Rfam family "Bacillaceae-1 RNA". Lineage: Bacteria; Bacillati; Bacillota; Bacilli; Caryophanales; Bacillaceae. The record is from Rfam by way of RNAcentral.
GUAUAUGGUAGUUCAACUAAGACCGUCACUUCCAUGUGACAACGUUGAUCGACCUACAUCCUGUAGG